RNAcentral lists this ribosomal RNA (268 nucleotides) under uncultured bacterium. RNAcentral describes it as "partial 16S ribosomal RNA". It matches the Rfam family "Bacterial small subunit ribosomal RNA", at positions 29 to 289 of the family's 1533-position model. The record is from RNAcentral.
ACGAACGCUGGCGGCGUGCCUAACACAUGCAAGUCGAACGGAGAUGUUUUGAAAGCUUGCUGAUAAGCAUCUUAGUGGCGCACGGGUGAGUAGCACGUGGGCAACCUGCCCGGAAGUCUGGGAUAACAGUGCGAAAGUACUGCUAAUACCGGAUACCUUCACGAAGCUGCCUAGCUUUGUGAAGAAAGAUUAAUCGCUUCCGGAUGGGCCCGCGUCCCAUUAGCUAGUUGGUGAGGUAACGGCUCACCGAGGCGACGAUGGGUAGCUG